RNAcentral lists this small RNA (28 nucleotides) under Bombyx mori (domestic silkworm). RNAcentral's name for it is "ovarian small RNA-21727". The record is from RNAcentral. Lineage: Eukaryota; Metazoa; Arthropoda; Insecta; Lepidoptera; Bombycidae.
UAGAAAACCAAACUUGACUGCGCAUUUC